This 425-nucleotide ribosomal RNA is filed under the name uncultured bacterium. RNAcentral describes it as "partial 16S ribosomal RNA". It matches the Rfam family "Bacterial small subunit ribosomal RNA", at positions 354 to 796 of the family's 1533-position model. The record is from RNAcentral.
GUGGGGAAUCUUAGACAAUGGGGGAAACCCUGAUCUAGCCAUGCCGCGUGAGCGAUGAAGGCCUUAGGGUUGUAAAGCUCUUUCAGCUGGGAAGAUAAUGACGGUACCAGCAGAAGAAGCCCCGGCUAACUCCGUGCCAGCAGCCGCGGUAAUACGGAGGGGGCUAGCGUUGUUCGGAAUUACUGGGCGUAAAGCGCACGUAGGCGGAUUGGAAAGUUGGGGGUGAAAUCCCGGGGCUCAACCCCGGAACUGCCUUCAAAACUCCCAGUCUUGAGGUCGAGAGAGGUGAGUGGAAUUCCGAGUGUAGAGGUGAAAUUCGUAGAUAUUCGGAGGAACACCAGUGGCGAAGGCGGCUCACUGGCUCGAUACUGACGCUGAGGUGCGAAAGCGUGGGGAGCAAACAGGAUUAGAUACCCCAGUAGUCC